AGUGAACGCUGGCGGUAGGCCUAACACAUGCAAGUCGAACGGCAGCACAGUAAGAGCUUGCUCUUACGGGUGGCGAGUGGCGGACGGGUGAGGAAUACAUCGGAAUCUACUUUUUCGUGGGGGAUAACGUAGGGAAACUUACGCUAAUACCGCAUACGACCUACGGGUGAAAGCAGGGGAUCUUCGGACCUUGCGCGAUUGAAUGAGCCGAUGUCGGAUUAGCUAGUUGGCGGGGUAAAGGCCCACCAAGGCGACGAUCCGUAGCUGGUCUGAGAGGAUGAUCAGCCACACUGGAACUGAGACACGGUCCAGACUCCUACGGGAGGCAGCAGUCGGGAAUAUUGGACAAUGGGCGCAAGCCUGAUCCAGCCAUACCGCGUGGGUGACGAAGGCCUUCGGGUUGUAAAGCCCUUUUGUUGGGAAAGAAAAGCAGCAGGUUAAUACCCCGCUGUUCUGACGGUACCCAAAGAAUAAGCACCGGCUAACUUCGUG
This 492-nucleotide ribosomal RNA is filed under the name uncultured bacterium. RNAcentral describes it as "partial 16S ribosomal RNA". It matches the Rfam family "Bacterial small subunit ribosomal RNA", at positions 29 to 507 of the family's 1533-position model. The record is from RNAcentral.